GCUAUCAAUCCCUCUGCUCACUUUGUGGUGUCAGAUCGAACUGUGCCCGCUAUACCAGAGACAUAGGAGUGACAGUUGCCGGAGUACGAAAUGACAAUAGACACAUACAAGCAUUGGAAUGUCUUAGACGUGGUAAUACUCCAGGAGUAGCGUACGUAUCCUGGCAACACGUCCGCGAGUACUUAAAUCUCUGGAACCCACAAGAGGCAUCAUCCUAUUCCCUGUUAUGUCCUGACGAUUCCCUUGUAGUACUGAACAGCAAGGUCUUGGCUCAGCGUGUCGCUCCUUGCUCUUUUGUUAAGCAACCAUUGAGCGCCCUUAUUGCACCAACAUACCAAGCAAAAGGAAUCCAGAUAAACCUACAAAAGUGGUGGAAAAAUGGCGCCAUUCCUGCUGGCAAUUCCUGGCAAACGGUGCUUUUUGAAGCCAUUGUUGGAGGCUCCAAUGCGAGGGUUUCGUUCGACAAAUCUCUCCCUAAUUUGUCUUACUCUG
Long non-coding RNA from Pieris napi, 492 nucleotides. RefSeq lists it as uncharacterized. Lineage: Eukaryota; Metazoa; Arthropoda; Insecta; Lepidoptera; Pieridae. The transcript is spliced from 3 exons. The record is from RefSeq and is a predicted model, not a curated record.